Molecule: long non-coding RNA, 2773 nt
Organism: Trachemys scripta elegans
Lineage: Eukaryota; Metazoa; Chordata; Testudines; Emydidae
Exons: 2
Source: RefSeq, a predicted model, not a curated record
CCGUCGUGGCACAUUGACAUGCAAUGUAACUGUGCAGAGGUGUCAGUUGGAAUUGGGGGUACUGAGUGCUUCUGAAAAUCAGGUCCCAGGUGCCUCAAGUCAAACUCCUAACUCGGAGGCAUCCAAAAUCAGUGGCCACUUUUAAAAAUUGCAGUCCAAGGUCACACACGGAGACAGUAUCAGUACUGGUGAUGUAACCUUUCCUAGCGCCCGGUCCCACGUGUCCUGGGCCUCCUCGGGCUGUCACGACGACAGUUUUCUGGGUGGUUGUUGUGAUUGUUCAUUUACAUGUAAGACGUGUUGACAAUUUUCGUGUAGUUCUUUUCUUUCCUGUGCAAUUAGAUGCAAUGAUUAGAGCCUCGUCUGUAGUACGCUGCAGGCUUCUCCUGUAAUUCCGUUCUGAGUGCGGCAGGUGGAUGGAUACAACCUCCCACGCUGCUGCUCAGACGCCUGCCUGAUUAUUCUGUCUUGAGCCUGUCAAAUUAUCCAGUGGGUGUCUGACUCCAGAACCAUUUUCCAAUAGGAAUCCCACCUGCAUGCCUGGGGGGGACUGGAGGCGUGAUCACACUGGGAACAGAGCAGCUAAGUAUGGCUGGUGCCAUGGCAAAGAUAUGGCUACAAAGGGCUUUCCGUCCCCUAUAUACAUGACUUAGUCUCUAACGGAGGAGCCAUUGAGUUGAGUGCCCUGGUAGAUUACAGGCUAGAACUGCCGCUCCUGAGAGCGUGACAUUGAGCACCUCUUUGCUUAAAUGAAUGAACAUGGAUACUUCAGCAGUAAAUGGUAAUUAAUUUCCCUUCUUCGUUUUGUUAUGCAAAUAGUUUGAAUGCUCAUUAGCUAGCGGGAUUAUGAGACAACUGCUCUGGAAUCAACUGGCAGCAGACAAGAUCUGAUGAGUUUAUUGUAAUUGGAUAAGGGUGAAGGGAGUGGGGGGAAGAUAUGGGACAGAUGAAAUAUCUUCCCCCAGCUGAGACAGAGCAGCUCUGACUGAGGAUGUGUCUACACUGCAACGUAAACCUGGGCUCCGACUCAGGCUCAAGUCCUAACCCCGCUUCUGUCUACACAUAAAUCUCUCGAACUUGGGCUCAGACCCAGGGUCCGAUGACCCUCUCAAGGGUGGAAGGUUCGAGCCCAUCAAGGUAGGACCCAGGUUUCAAGUUCUAUUGUUUUUGCAGUGUAGAUACAGUCCCCCUUCCAGGCUCGGGUCCCUGGAGUCCGCCAAACGCAUCCCACAAUUCAGUGGGCCAACUUCCUUUGUCCUCUCUCUCCCACGAAUUGCCAGUUGACUCCAGGGAAAUGGAAACACCUCAGCCUUGCUCUAGUCCAGCAGAUCGGCUUUUAACCCUUCCAUUUUAUUCUGACCUCUGAGCUGCAAACACAACCUAGGAGAACCUUCGGCAUUUGCCAGAAGUCCUUCACAAAGCGCACUGCCCUGUGGUCGCGGGAACACCGCCAGAUUUUGGUUAGUCUCUGGCGUGAGGCAGCAAAACAACUGAUUUUAGUCCAAGUACCAGGAAUGACCAGUCAUACCCCCAAAGAGCGAAGAAGCAGAUGAGGCUGGAAAUUUACCGGACCGAGGACCAGUGCAGGGAAUGGAGGAAGUGGCUCAAGACAAAGUACCUGAAAACCAGGAACCACAGCUGUACCUCUGGCAGCUCGCGGACACCGUGCCUGUUUUGUGAUGAGUUUGAUCAAGUGCUGGGGACUGCGUCGAGCACCAAAGCCACUGGCGGGGCAGGAUCACCUGCUCAGGAUGGCGCCCUGCGAGCCCCAGAAGCCAGCACAGAAAUCGAUGGGAGCCAGCAGCGGGCACCUAAUGAGGCAAAUGAAGUGACUCUGCUGAUGAAACGGAUCCCAGAGGAGGCUUUGCCACAGGUGCAGCUGCAGCACAUCCUGGGGCCAUCCUCAGUGGAGCUUUUUCAUGCCCCCCCAGAGGAACAGCUACGGAACCGGCCGCACAAAUGGGAGAGAGCGAGAAAUUGCCCCUGAGCCUGGCCCCUCGACCUCUCCAGGUGGCAAUAUCUCCGCAGCUCGCCCACAUGCAGAAGCCUGGCUCACCGGACCUUCACGGAGUGUUCCAAGCGGAAGCUUUUCCGGGAUUAAUUUAUGGUUGGAGUUCUGGACAGGGCCAACAAGCAGGUCGAGUACCAAAGGCGAAGGGACUUGGGCGAGAGGAAAAACAUGCCAAGAGAGGCAAGCGGAAAGGCUCGGGCUGGCUUCACAGCUCGAGGACAGGGGGAUGACACAAAAGCAGGCACUUGCUUCGCAGUUCCUGGAACAGGAAUGGCGGUUAAAGGAGGAAGGUAGAGGGCUACAGAGAGAAUUGUUUGAGCGGCUGCUGUCUCUAAUGGCUUCCAGGUUGCCAGCUGCUGCUGCACUAUGGGCUGCAUCCCCUCCGUGGUACCCUGCCCUGCACUCCAAGAGCAGCUUGGACAACUCCAUGGCUGGGUGGCCCAUGCAGUAGGGCCCUAUGAGUGCCUGAACAGGGCAAAUGUGCCCCAUGCAGUCCUCACUGCUGAACCCCUCCCCUAUGGAUGCUUCCACCCCCCUCCCCCAUGGCAAACAGGGAAAGGAAAACGGGUCUCAGGGGAGAUGCAGUAGCAGGUGGGGUUGUCUUGUACCUUUUUUGCACGUGUUUAUGUGCUUUAUUCUUGGUAACUUUUAAAGGUUUGGGUGUUGCUGGUGUUUUGGGGUGUUAAGGGCAACUGGCCUGCCCUGCAAGAGUUUCAUAUUGGACUGGCCAAUACAUGUGUCAAAAUAAAAGUUUUGAUUUCA